CGGAGGGAAACCGAGUCUUAACCGGGCGUUAAGUUGCAGGGUAUAGACCCGAAACCCGGUGAUCUAGCCAUGGGCAGGUUGAAGGUUGGGUAACACUAACUGGAGGACCGAACCGACUAAUGUUGAAAAAUUAGCGGAUGACCUGUGGCUGGGGGUGAAAGGCCAAUCAAACCGGGAGAUAGCUGGUUCUCCCCGAAAGCUAUUUAGGUAGCGCCUCGUGAAUUCAUCUCCGGGGGUAGAGCACUGUUUCGGCUAGGGGGCCAUCCCGGCUUACCAACCCGAUGCAAACUGCGAAUACCGGAGAAUGUUAUCACGGGAGACACACGGCGGGUGCUAACGUCCGUCGUGAAGAGGGAAACAACCCAGACCGCCAGCUAAGGUCCCAAAGUCAUGGUUAAGUGGGAAACGAUGUGGGAAGGCCCAGACAGCCAGGAUGUUGGCUUAGAAGCAGCCAUCAUUUAAAGAAAGCGUAAUAGCUCACUGGUCGAGUCGGCCUGCGCGGAAGAUGUAACGGGGCUAAACCAUGCACCGAAGCUGCGGCAGCGACGCUGAUGCGUUGUUGGGUAGGGGAGCGUUCUGUAAGCCUGCGAAGGUGGCCUGUGAGGGUUGCUGGAGGUAUCAGAAGUGCGAAUGCUGACAUAAGUAACGAUAAAGCGGGUGAAAAGCCCGCUCGCCGGAAGACCAAGGGUUCCUGUCCAACGUUAAUCGGGGCAGGGUGAGUCGACCCCUAAGGCGAGGCCGAAAGGCGUAGUCGAUGGGAAACGGGUUAAUAUUCCCGUACUUGGUGUUACUGCGAAGGGGGGACGGAGAAGGCUAUGUUGGCCGGGCGACGGUUGUCCCGGUUUAAGCGUGUAGGCUGGUUUUCCAGGCAAAUCCGGAAAAUCAAGGCUGAGGCGUGACGACGAGGCACUACGGUGCUGAAGCAACAAAUGCCCUGCUUCCAGGAAAAGCCUCUAAGCAUCAGGUAACACGAAAUCGUACCCCAAACCGACACAGGUGGUCAGGUAGAGAAUACCAAGGCGCUUGAGAGAACUCGGGUGAAGGAACUAGGCAAAAUGGUGCCGUAACUUCGGGAGAAGGCACGCUGACAUGUAGGUGAAGUGAUUUACUCAUGGAGCUGAAGUCAGUCGAAGAUACCAGCUGGCUGCAACUGUUUAUUAAAAACACAGCACUGUGCAAACACGAAAGUGGACGUAUACGGUGUGACGCCUGCCCGGUGCCGGAAGGUUAAUUGAUGGGGUCAGCGCAAGCGAAGCUCCUGAUCGAAGCCCCGGUAAACGGCGGCCGUAACUAUAACGGUCCUAAGGUAGCGAAAUUCCUUGUCGGGUAAGUUCCGACCUGCACGAAUGGCGUAAUGAUGGCCAGGCUGUCUCCACCCGAGACUCAGUGAAAUUGAACUCGCUGUGAAGAUGCAGUGUACCCGCGGCAAGACGGAAAGACCCCGUGAACCUUUACUAUAGCUUGACACUGAACAUUGAGCCUUGAUGUGUAGGAUAGGUGGGAGGCUUUGAAGUGUGGACGCCAGUCUGCAUGGAGCCGACCUUGAAAUACCACCCUUUAAUGUUUGAUGUUCUAACGUGGACCCGUGAUCCGGGUUGCGGACAGUGUCUGGUGGGUAGUUUGACUGGGGCGGUCUCCUCCUAAAGAGUAACGGAGGAGCACGAAGGUUGGCUAAUCCUGGUCGGACAUCAGGAGGUUAGUGCAAUGGCAUAAGCCAGCUUGACUGCGAGCGUGACGGCGCGAGCAGGUGCGAAAGCAGGUCAUAGUGAUCCGGUGGUUCUGAAUGGAAGGGCCAUCGCUCAACGGAUAAAAGGUACUCCGGGGAUAACAGGCUGAUACCGCCCAAGAGUUCAUAUCGACGGCGGUGUUUGGCACCUCGAUGUCGGCUCAUCACAUCCUGGGGCUGAAGUAGGUCCCAAGGGUAUGGCUGUUCGCCAUUUAAAGUGGUACGCGAGCUGGGUUUAGAACGUCGUGAGACAGUUCGGUCCCUAUCUGCCGUGGGCGCUGGAGAACUGAGGGGGGCUGCUCCUAGUACGAGAGGACCGGAGUGGACGCAUCACUGGUGUUCGGGUUGUCAUGCCAAUGGCACUGCCCGGUAGCUAAAUGCGGAAGAGAUAAGUGCUGAAAGCAUCUAAGCACGAAACUUGCCCCGAGAUGAGUUCUCCCUGAGACUUUAGGUCUCCUGAAGGAACGUUGAAGACGACGACGUUGAUAGGCCGGGUGUGUAAGCGCAGCGAUGCGUUGAGCUAACCGGUACUAAUGAACCGUGAGGCUUAACCUUACA
This 2284-nucleotide ribosomal RNA is filed under the name Salmonella enterica. Its description in RNAcentral is "partial 23S ribosomal RNA". It matches the Rfam family "Bacterial large subunit ribosomal RNA", at positions 667 to 2925 of the family's 2925-position model. The record is from RNAcentral. Lineage: Bacteria; Pseudomonadati; Pseudomonadota; Gammaproteobacteria; Enterobacterales; Enterobacteriaceae.